GACGAACGCUGGCGGCGUGCCUAAUACAUGCAAGUAGAACGCUGAAGGAGGAGCUUGCUUCUCUGGAUGAGUUGCGAACGGGUGAGUAACGCGUAGGUAACCUGCCUGGUAGCGGGGGAUAACUAUUGGAAACGAUAGCUAAUACCGCAUAAUAGUAGAUGUUGCAUGACAUUUGCUUAAAAGGUGCAAUUGCAUCACUACCAGAUGGACCUGCGUUGUAUUAGCUAGUUGGUGAGGUAACGGCUCACCAAGGCGACGAUACAUAGCCGACCUGAGAGGGGGACCGGCACAACGGGGAUAGAGACACGGCCCAGACCCCUCGGGGAGGCAGAGGGAGGGAAUCUUGGGCAAUGGCGGAAGGUCUGACCGAGAAACGCCGCGGGAGUAAAGAGGGUUUUGGGAUAGUAAAGCUCUGUUGAAAGAAAAGAACGAGUGGGGGAGGGAAAAUUCCCCCCUGGAAGGUAAUCUAACAAGAAGGGGAGGCCAAACUCCGUC
RNAcentral lists this ribosomal RNA (495 nucleotides) under uncultured bacterium. RNAcentral describes it as "partial 16S ribosomal RNA". It matches the Rfam family "Bacterial small subunit ribosomal RNA", at positions 28 to 507 of the family's 1533-position model. The record is from RNAcentral.